UCCUAUUUUAUAAUCAGUAAUAAGUUUAUUUUCACUCGAUGCACACAAUAUAGAAAAUAUCUUUUUACUAGCAAUAUAGUUUGUUUUACAAACUACUAAAAAUGUUUCUGUUGUCUUAAGGCGAUUUAAACGCUUCAGAUAAAUAUUUUAAGUUUCAAAUUGAUAUCCAAGGACCAUUUCUAAAAUUGCACUACAAAAAUCUCGUUGGACGGUAUAAAUUGAAAAUCUCUGUAUCUGUAUCCUUCACAAGAUGCUUCUGAAGACUUGCAUGCGUGACAUUUGCAUGACGUCGCUUGCUGAAAAACGUACACCUCUGUUCCUGGUUCAACACCCAGUUCACAGUUUUUUAAGAUAUAUUUAGUUAAUUUACGGCCACCGUGUAUGCAAACUGGAUGGUGUGAACGUUUAUAAGGAAAUCGCCAAUCAGAUA
Long non-coding RNA from Daktulosphaira vitifoliae (grape phylloxera), 430 nucleotides. RefSeq lists it as uncharacterized. NCBI's taxonomy places the organism in Eukaryota, Metazoa, Arthropoda, Insecta, Hemiptera, Phylloxeridae. The record is from RefSeq and is a predicted model, not a curated record. The transcript is spliced from 2 exons.